This 429-nucleotide ribosomal RNA is filed under the name Gemmatimonadota bacterium. Its description in RNAcentral is "Gemmatimonadetes bacterium partial 16S ribosomal RNA". It matches the Rfam family "Bacterial small subunit ribosomal RNA", at positions 355 to 776 of the family's 1533-position model. The record is from RNAcentral. Lineage: Bacteria; Pseudomonadati; Gemmatimonadota.
UAGGGAAUCUUCGGCAAUGGACGAAAGUCUGACCGAGCAACGCCGCGUGAGUGAAGAAGGUCUUCGGAUCGUAAAACUCUGUUGUUAGAGAAGAACAAGGACGUUAGUAACUGAACGUCCCCUGACGGUAUCUAACCAGAAAGCCACGGCUAACUACGUGCCAGCAGCCGCGGUAAUACGUAGGUGGCAAGCGUUGUCCGGAUUUAUUGGGCGUAAAGCGAGCGCAGGCGGUUUCUUAAGUCUGAUGUGAAAGCCCCCGGCUCAACCGGGGAGGGUCAUUGGAAACUGGGGGACUUGAGUGCAGAAGAGGAGAGUGGAAUUCCAGGUGUAGCGGUGAAAUGCGUAGAUAUAUGGAGGAACACCAGUGGCGAAGGCGGCUCUCUGGUCUGUAACUGACGCUGAGGCUCGAAAGCGUGGGGAGCAAACAGG